AGGAAAGGGAGGGAUU
Molecule: transfer RNA, 16 nt
Filed under: Elaphoglossum decoratum
Lineage: Eukaryota; Viridiplantae; Streptophyta; Polypodiopsida; Polypodiales; Dryopteridaceae
Also listed under: 12 other names
Description: partial tRNA-Ser
Source: RNAcentral